Molecule: long non-coding RNA, 311 nt
Organism: Bactrocera latifrons
Lineage: Eukaryota; Metazoa; Arthropoda; Insecta; Diptera; Tephritidae
Exons: 3
Source: RefSeq, a predicted model, not a curated record
AUUUGCUUUUAAUAUACUUGAAGAAACAGCAAAGAUGAGGGAAGCGUGUAAGACGUAAUCCAAAAAUUAGCUAUGCUGUUCAACACGCUGCAACAAUGAAUGGAAAAAUGCUAAGUGCUCACAGAAAACCACAAAGUACUUAAGCCGUAAUGAAACAAAUCUCUUGAGUACCUGGAAAUAGGUGUUUUGAAAUGCAAUUUAGUGUGAGAACUGAUGAGAAUUUUGAUGAGCUGCUGGAUGAGUAGUUUGUUUUUAUAAGAUCUAUGACGAGCAACUUUUGUAAAUCUUACCUUAAAAGAAUUUGAAAUAUG